AAAGAUUUAGGCUAUUUAGACCAGGAGCCUUCAAAGCCCCAAGAAGAGGCUUAUAACCCUCUAAUCUUUG
Molecule: transfer RNA, 70 nt
Filed under: Thorius n. sp. RLM-2004
Lineage: Eukaryota; Metazoa; Chordata; Amphibia; Caudata; Plethodontidae
Description: tRNA-Trp
Source: RNAcentral